UCUGACCCCAACAUUCAGUUCUCCACCCCAUUUGAGAAACUCAAUCAUAGAGUAUGAGUCUCAUCUUUGAAGAAAUAACCUUCUGGACACACUGUUCUAAACUUGUGUUAGAAGACCUCACAACUAAGGCCUGAGCGCUCUGAGAACCCUUCUCUCAGUGAAAUGGACUGUGACGAGUGACACACAGGCCCCUCCACUGGGUCACAGCGGCAGAUUGUACACAACCAGAGGU
Fukomys damarensis (Damara mole-rat) is the source of this 232-nucleotide long non-coding RNA. RefSeq lists it as uncharacterized. The record is from RefSeq and is a predicted model, not a curated record. The transcript has 2 exons. NCBI's taxonomy places the organism in Eukaryota, Metazoa, Chordata, Mammalia, Rodentia, Bathyergidae.